Mirounga angustirostris (Northern elephant seal) is the source of this 3458-nucleotide long non-coding RNA. RefSeq lists it as uncharacterized. NCBI's taxonomy places the organism in Eukaryota, Metazoa, Chordata, Mammalia, Carnivora, Phocidae. The record is from RefSeq and is a predicted model, not a curated record. The transcript is spliced from 2 exons.
GGGGGAGCGCGGGCGCGCGGGCGGCCUUCCGGCCUCUGCUGUGGCGCCCGCCGGCGUGGUUGCCGGGGACGCGCGGGAUGGGGCCCGGCCCUGCAGGCCGCAAAGCGGGUCGGGGAGGCGCUUUCCCGGGGACCUUCUGAUCCCGGGAGACUGAACAUAAGCAAGCGAGGAGGUGCAGUAGUGUGAGAGGCUGACCAGAAGACCACUUGGGCCAGCGUUCCUGGGGAAGACUUCCCGGCUAGAAGGAAUUCUAGGUAGUCACAGAAGAACAUGUAGGUCAUCUAGAGCUCUAGGAUGGAACGAGCAUGGAAGCAAAAGCCAGCAACGAAAGAAGGAACUGCUAGAAAUGUAAGAUUCAUCCUGGUCAGUAGUUGGACAAAAGACUGGAGGAUCUAGUAUGUAGAAUCUAGAACCUAAGAAGCCUUGAAUGAAAGCCAGGAUGACACUCUUAUUUUCCAUCACCCAAAGUUUGAUUAGAGACUAGUUUGGAGGUGAGAUGCAAGACAGAUUUCCCAGAAAGUUCCAGCUGAGAAAGUGUCCUGCAUGAGCAGCAGGUCUGAAUGGAGAGUUUCGGGUUUCCUGGGUGUGUUCCAGGUUCAGCCUUGAAAGUCAUGUUGCACCUGGGGCCUUUUCUUUCUCUGUGUAGAUAGAACUGUCCAUUCACUGGGAAGGAUCAUACUCUAUAGCAUCUAGUCCUUUUUUAUUUUGCCCAGCCUGUGGCUCACUAUGUCAUCUUGGUGUAAAUUAACCCAGAGUUUUUACUCAUGGCAACACUAAUGGGGAUCUAUGGAAAUGGAAUGGGCUGUUUAAAUUCCGGGGAGUAGGGAGAGCUUCCGGAAAGGAAAUUGUGUGAAACAACCACAAGAUGGUGGCACUCUACCCUCAUUUCUAGAAUAGAAAACCCUCCCAUAGAAUUUGAGAAACUUCCAGGAAUUCCUUGGCCCUUUUCUCAAUCAUGGAAAGAACCCCUGCAACAGUCUUUGGUAAUGAGUUACAUAUAUAUACAAUAUUUAUUCCCAUAGACACAGAAGAACGAAAAGCAUCCAAGGACAAUCCUUGAGCUCAGUGUUCCUUGUCUUUUUGGGUGCAGCUUAUGAAGCCCAGAGUAAUUAGGAUUAUAGGGUAAAUGUUUUGUUCAGCCAGUGUUGUUUGCGUUCAGAAUCUGAGCCUGAGGAAUAUUUGAUCUUACCUGUGCCUGUGAUCAUAUCUGUUAUUUAUGAGCACAUAGCAUGGUGCUUGACACUUAGUCUUACUUGUGUCAACUCGUAGAAUCUUCAUAAGAGAAUCUGGAGGUGAGGUUUCCAUGGCUCAUUAUGCAGACAUGGUUCAGUGAUAAAGAUGUCUGUAUGCUCUAUGUACCUCAUCAACCCCAACCAUGAUCUUGGGCCUUUCUUCACAUUUUCCAAACUAAUACUGCAUCUGGCACAAUGCUGCAGAGAGCUGUCUUUAAUUAGCAAUCUCAACACUCAAAAACAAGCCUAACUUACAAAAUUUGGACAGCACUCACACACCUGGUGAUUUUGCCCUUGAAGAUUGUGUUUUAGUUUUGUUCCCUAGGAACAAAAAGGGAUAAAGUCCCUACUGACUAUCUGUAGGUUUUAAGGGUAUCUCUUGGAAACAGCGCAUGGGAUCAUAAAAUAUUCAUCUGAUCAUCUGUCUUCUAUCUGCAGAGCUUAGUCCAUUUGCAUUUAUUUUCAUUCCUGAUAUGUUCUUUUUCUAUUAUUUUACACACUUUCUAUUCAUUGUGUUGUUUUUUUGCUUUGCUUUCCUUCCCCUCUUUCUUUUUCCUUUUUUUUUUUUUAAAGAUUUUAUUUAUUUUUUGACAGAGAGAGACACAGCGAGAGAGGGAACACAAGCAGGGGGAGUGGGAGAGGGAGAAGCAGGCUUCCCGCAGAGCAGGGAGCCUGAUGCGGGGCUCGAUCCCAGGACCCUGGGAUCAUGACCUGAGCCGAAGGCAGACGCUUAACGACUGAGCCACCCAGGCACCCCUCCUUUUUUUUUUUUUUUAAAGAUUUUAUUUAUUUGACAGAGAGACACAGUGAGAGCAGGAUCACAAGCAGGGGGAGAGGGAGAGGGAGAAACAGGCCUCCCGCCGAGCAGGGAGCCCGAUGCGGGGCUCGAUCCCAGGACCCUGGGAUCAGGACCUGAGCAGAAGGCAGACGCUUAACGAUUGAGACACCCAGGCGCCCCCCUUCCCCUCUUUCUUGGAGGUACCAUUAAUCUAAGAGUACUUUAAGCCACCCAGGCGCCACUCUCCCUUGAUUUUCAUCAAAGGUGUACUCCUACUUAACAUGAGUCUGUGUACAGUGGAGUUCUUUAUGGACAUUGGGUGUGUUGCUUAUUAGAAAUGAAAGGAUCUGACUGCAGACAUAGCCUCUGACAGAGAAAAUCCAGUGUCUGUUUCAUUUUCCCCCAAUAAGAAAUGUAUGAACUGGGGUAAUAUCAGUAAGACACCAGUUAUAGUUCUCCGGAUAAAUUGUUAAGUUUAUUGUCAAAUCAUUCUUAGCUGACCUGAGGAAAGAAAAAAAGAGGAAGAGGGAGAGAAGAAGGGAGGGAAGGAGGAAAGAAGAGUGAUCUUCAUGCCUGGCGGCUCCUGGAUAGGCUGAAUUGCUAAGUGUUAAGAUGGAAUGAGCUGGCAGGUCAAAUCCAAGAGUGCAGAGCUGAUGGGACUGCCCUCUGAUGACACAUCCCCCCUGUAAAGCCACACCACAGCAACACCUUUCCUCUCUUACCCAUGUCUUCUUCCUCUGCCUGGCUCCCUAGCUCACUGGAAGUUUCCUGUUGCUUGAGGGUCCUGGGAGCCACCAUGAACUAAUUCUCUGAUCGACAUCACUUGAAGAAUCUUUAGAGUUGUCUUGAGAGAGGUCUUGCAGUUAUUUGAAUUAGGAAACCUCCUGUUAAAUUAUGUCCACAAAUUCUUUGAUAACCCCCUUCAAGAGAUAGAGCCUAAUCUCCUUCCCUUGAGUGUAAAAUAGCCUCAGUGACUGAGUUCUAAUGGAUACAAAGCUGUAGGAUUGAUGCUGUGACUUCCGAGACUAGGUUAUAAAAGGCACGUGGUUUCCCCCUUGUUCUCGCUCUCUCUUUCUCUCUCGGGUGACUUGCUCUGGGCAAGACCAGCUGCUGAGUUGUGAAGACACCCCAGCAGCCCUGUGGAGAGGUCCUUGUGGGGAGUAAUCAAAGUCUCCUGUUAACAGCCAGCAAGGAAUGAAGCCUCCUGCCAACAGUCAUGUGUAUGAACCAUCCCGAGGACAGAUCUUCCAGUCCCAGUCAAAUCUUCCAGUGCCUGCAUACCCAGAACCAGAACUGCCCAGCAAAGCCACUCCCAAGUUGUCGACCCAUAGAAACUGUGUGAGAUGAUCAGUGUUUAUUUCUUUAAGCUGUUAAGUUGGGGGGAUGAUCUGUUGUGCAGAAAUAGACAACGAAGACAUUCUCUCACAUAAAAUUGUGCAUCACCAGAA